Molecule: ribosomal RNA, 895 nt
Filed under: Rugosomyces sp. GC13100202
Lineage: Eukaryota; Fungi; Basidiomycota; Agaricomycetes; Agaricales; Tricholomataceae
Description: eukaryotic LSU rRNA
Source: RNAcentral
UCUUGGUCAUUUAGAGGAAGUAAAAGUCGUAACAAGGUUUCCGUAGGUGAACCUGCGGAAGGAUCAUUACAGAAAUAAACACGCCUCGGCUGUUGCUGGCUUCUAGGAGUACUGUGCACGCCUGGCAACGUUUUUCUCUUUGACCACCUGUGCACCUUUUGUAGACUUGAAAGCAUUAUUUAUCGAGGAUUAACUCGGUUUUAGAGGAUUGCAAUGCGAAAGCUUGCUUUCCUUGUGGAUUUGCCUGUACAAGUCUAUGUAUUUUUAUUAUACCCCUUAAACAGUAACAGGAAUGUAUAACUUAAUUGGCCUCUUGUGCCUUUAAUCUAAAAUACAACUUUCAACAACGGAUCUCUUGGCUCUCGCAUCGAUGAAGAACGCAGCGAAAUGCGAUAAGUAAUGUGAAUUGCAGAAUUCAGUGAAUCAUCGAAUCWUUGAACGCACCUUGCGCUCCUUGGAAUUCCGAGGAGCAUGCCUGUUUGAAUGUCAUUAAAUUCAAUCCUUACUUAUCUUCUUUGUUAACUUGCUGUAGGUUCUUGGAUUGUGGGGGUGUUUKCCUGCUCUUACAAAGWCUGCUCCUCUUAAAAGCAUUAGCAGAGGCCGUUUGGCGAUUCUGGUGUGAUAAUUAUCUACGCCACAGUUGACCAUACUUUAAAGGACCUUGCUUAUAAUUGUCCUCAAGGGACUAUCUUUGAACAGCUUGACCUCAAAUCAGGUAGGAUUACCCGCUGAACUUAAGCAUAUCAAUAAGCGGAGGAAAAGAAACUAACAAGGAUUCCCCUAGUAACUGCGAGUGAAGCGGGAAAAGCUCAAAUUUAAAAUCUGGUAGUCUAUGACUGCCCGAGUUGUAAUCUAGAGAAGCAUUAUCCGCGCUGGACCGUGUACAAGUCUCCUG